AGUGAACGCUGGCGGUAGGCCUAACACAUGCAAGUCGAACGGCAGCACAGUAAGAGCUUGCUCUUACGGGUGGCGAGUGGCGGACGGGUGAGGAAUACAUCGGAAUCUACUUUUUCGUGGGGGAUAACGUAGGGAAACUUACGCUAAUACCGCAUACGACCUACGGGUGAAAGCAGGGGAUCUUCGGACCUUGCGCGAUUGAAUGAGCCGAUGUCGGAUUAGCUAGUUGGCGGGGUAAAGGCCCACCAAGGCGACGAUCCGUAGCUGGUCUGAGAGGAUGAUCAGCCACACUGGAAAUGAGAAACGGUCCAGAAUCCUAAGGGAGGCAGCAGUGGGGAAUAUUGGACAAUGGGCGCAAGCCUGAUCCAGCCAUACCGCGUGGGGGAAGAAGGCCUUCGGGUUGUAAAGCCCUUUUGUUGGGAAAGAAAAGCAGCAGGUUAAUACCCCGCUGUUCUGACGGUACCCAAAGAAUAAGCACCGGCUAACUUCGUG
RNAcentral lists this ribosomal RNA (492 nucleotides) under uncultured bacterium. Its description in RNAcentral is "partial 16S ribosomal RNA". It matches the Rfam family "Bacterial small subunit ribosomal RNA", at positions 29 to 507 of the family's 1533-position model. The record is from RNAcentral.